AGGGCGUAUGGUGGAUGCCUAGGCUCAUUCAGGCGAUGAAGGACGUGAUAAGCUGCGAUAAGCCGCGGGUAGGUGCAAAUGACCUCUGAUCCGCGGAUUUCCGAAUGGGACAACCCGGCAGUCUGAAGGACUGUCACUCAGCAAUGGCUGAGGGCUAACCGAGGGAACUGAAACAUCUUAGUACCUCGAGGAAGAGAAAAUAAACUAAUGAUUCCCCCAGUAGUGGCGAGCGACCGGGGAAGAGCCCAAACCGGCCAUGUGGCAACGCAUGACCGGGGUUGUAGGACCGCGCCGUUGUACUCAGCGUGUGAGAAGAACGUUCUGGAAAGAACGGCCAGAGAGGGUGACAGCCCCGUAAUCGAAGCACAACGAGACAUAGCGGUAUCCUGAGUAACGCGGGACACGAGUAAUCCUGCGCGAAUCCGCCGGGCCCAUCCGGCAAGGCUAAAUACUCGAAUGAGACCGAUAGCGAACGAGUACCGUGAGGGAAAGGUGAAAAGCACCUCGACAAGAGGAGUGAAAUAGUUCCUGAAACCAUGCGCCUACAAGCGGUCGGAGCUGCCUUGUGCAGUGACGGCGUGCCUUUUGCAUAAUGAACCUACGAGUUACCAUGUCCGGCGAGGUUAAGGGGCCGAGACCCCUAGCCGCAGUGAAAGCGAGCCUGAAUAGGGCGAGUAGUCGGAGGGGGUAGACGCGAAACCAAGUGAUCUACACAUGGCCAGGUUGAAGUUCCGGUAACACGGGAUGGAGGACCGCACGGAUAAGCGUUGAAAAGCUUCCCGAUGAGCUGUGUGUAGGAGUGAAAGGCCAAUCAAACUUGGAGAUAGCUCGUACUCCCCGAAAGGCAUUUAGGUGCCGCGUGCGGCGGUCUGCAUGAGAGGUAGAGCGACCGAUAGGUCAAGAGGGCUUCACCGCCUAUCGAGACCUGACGAACUCCGAAUGCUCACGCACAGCAGCCGUGCAGUAAGGGGGCGGGUGCUAAGGUCCGUCCCCGAGAGGAGAAGAAUCCUGACCACCGUCUAAGGUCCCGGAAUUCUGUCUGAGUUAGUCUAACGAAGUCUGGUCCCCGUGACAGCUAGGAUGUUGGCUUGGAAGCAGCCAUUCAUUCAAAGAGUGCGUAACAGCUCACUAGUCGAGGGUCCGGGCGUGGAUAAUAAUCGGGUAUAAGGCAGAUACCGAAGACGUGGGAUAGUAAUGAUAAAAGUAUCGGUAGGGGAGCAUUCCAUAUGCGCUGAAUGGUGUGGGUGACCUAUCCUGGAGCGUAUGGAAAAGCAAAUGUAGGUAUAAGUAACGAUUAGGAGGGUAAGAACCCCUCCCGCCGUAAGUCUAAGGUUUCCCGGGCGAUGUCAGUCAGCCCGGGGUCAGUCGGGUCCUAAGUCUCAGCCGAACGGCGAAGGCGAUGGCCGACACGGUUAAUAUUCCGUGACUACCCUAUAUGGUGAUGUGGGGACGGAGGAGUGACACAGUCGCGGGCUGACGGAAUAGCCCGUUGAAGAGCGUAGGUGUUGAUGGCGGCAGGCAAAUCCACCGCCAGAGCUGAACCUCGAAAGUAUUCCAUUCCCUUCGGGGAAAGGAAACAGCACUGGUAAUCAUACUCCCGAGAAAAUCCGCUAAACUUAACAUACAGGGUACCCGUACCGCAAACCGACACAGGUAGACGGGUAGAACAUACUAAGGCGUUGAGAGAUUCAUGGUUAAGGAACUAGGCAAAUUGACCCUGUAACUUCGGGAUAAAGGGUCCUCACAGCAAUGUGAGGCGCAGAGAAUAGGUCCAGGCAACUGUUUAACAAAAACACAGGGCUGUGCAAACUCGAAAGAUGAGGUAUACAGCCUGACUCCUGCCCGGUGCCGGAAGGUUAAGAGGAGAUGUCAGCCUUAUGGUGAAGCAUUGAAUUGAAGCCCCGGUAAACGGCGGCCGUAACUAUAACGGUCCUAAGGUAGCGAAAUUCCUUGUCGGGUAAGUUCCGACCUGCACGAAUGGAGUAAUGAUCCGGACGCUGUCUCAACCAUGAGCUCAGUGAAAUUGUAGUAUCGGUGAAGAUGCCGAUUACCCGCGAUGGGACGAAAAGACCCCGUGAACCUUUACUACAGCUUAGCAUUGACCUUGGUCAUCCGAUGUGUAGGAUAGGCCGGAGGCUAUGAAGCGGGUGCGCCAGCAUUCGUGGAGCCAUCCUUGAAAUACGGCCCUUUGGCUGUCUGAGGUCUAACGCGCAAUAGCGCGGACACUGUUUGGUGGGUAGUUUGACUGGGGUGGUCGCCUCCAAAAGCGUAACGGAGGCUUCCAAAGGUGCCCUCGGGCCGAUUGGUAACCGGCCUUACAGAGUGCAAUGGCAUAAGGGCGCUUGACUG
RNAcentral lists this ribosomal RNA (2349 nucleotides) under wallaby gut metagenome. RNAcentral describes it as "bacterial LSU rRNA". It matches the Rfam family "Bacterial large subunit ribosomal RNA", at positions 14 to 2375 of the family's 2925-position model. The record is from RNAcentral.